GGGCCCAUAGCUCAGUUGGUUAGAGCGUCCGACUCAUAAUCGGCCGGUCCCUGGUUCGAGUCCAGGUGGGCCCACCA
Molecule: transfer RNA, 77 nt
Filed under: Pseudomonadales bacterium
Lineage: Bacteria; Pseudomonadati; Pseudomonadota; Gammaproteobacteria; Pseudomonadales
Also listed under: 1 other name
Description: tRNA-Ile
Rfam family: tRNA
About the family: Transfer RNA (tRNA) molecules are approximately 80 nucleotides in length. Their secondary structure includes four short double-helical elements and three loops (D, anti-codon, and T loops).
Source: RNAcentral